Molecule: long non-coding RNA, 5892 nt
Filed under: Theobroma cacao (cacao)
Lineage: Eukaryota; Viridiplantae; Streptophyta; Magnoliopsida; Malvales; Malvaceae
Description: long non-coding RNA (TCAC_LNC000643)
Source: RNAcentral
UGAUCUUUGACAAGAAAGGAACAUUUGUGAGACAAGUUUCAUUGUUGGCCGUAAUUUUGGAUCAGCUUGUAGACAUGCGAAUGCUAUUGUAGCUACAUGAACAAUAUUCUGUGCGACUAGCUGGCUUGUUGGAGGUGAGAGACGUGGAUCUAGCACAUCAAUUAACAUUAUAUUUUGCAAAGAAGAUGGUUCUGACAACAAGGAUAAAAUUUCCACAGGAUGCUUUCCGACCAAUGUUUCCAAUGCCAAUACUCCAAAACUAUAAACAUCACAUUUUUCAGUUACAAUCAUUGUGUAGGCAAGUUCUGCAUAAACAAAAUAAUGCACAUUAAAAUAUAUUAAAAACAUAAUAAUAAUAAUAAUAAUUAAUGACCCUUUUGCUUGUAUUUCCCAAAUCCUAGCCCCUAUAAUUUUUCCCCUUGAUUUUUGCCCACGUAUGUAUAUAUAUUCUUGCAUAUCGAAUUUGUAGUGAUAGCUUCCAUGCAUUUGGUUUGACAAUUGCUCAUUAGUCAUAUGACAUAAAAAUUUAACAAUGAAGACCGAUUUAAUCUACAAACUAACUACAAAAGGUAAACAAGUAAAGUGGAGAGUAAAGCAAAUUAGUAAAUGAAUCGGUAGAGGAUAACAUCACCUGGAGCUACAUAGCCAUAAGUGCCAACAAGCCUUGUUUGAUUUGAAGAAUCAGGAUCUAUGAUUCUGGCAGUCCCAAAGUCAGUGACAAAAGCCUCCAAGUCCAAGUUUAACAGAAUGUUGUUACUUGAAAUGUCUCGAUGAACUAUUAUUCGUGUGCACUCAAAAUGCAAGUAAGAUAAAGCGUGAGCCGUGCUCUUGAUAAUGUUCACUCUUUUUGCCCAAUCCAAUUCCACGGCCUGAACAUCAUCACUUAGCAUGAAAAACAAGCUUCCCCUUUCCAUGUAUUCAUAAAUCAAAAACAUGCAUCGUUUGUGAAGACAAUACCCAUGCAGUUUCACAAUGUUUCGAUGUCGAACUUCUGUUAAGAAUUUGAUCUCAUUUCUAAAACUCCUAUCCAAAGCCGGUUCCUCAGCUUCAAGACGAUGAAGCUUCUUCAAGGCAACUACUCUGCCACUUGGUAGCUGUGCUCUGUAUACACUUCCGUAACGACCAGUUCCAAUGCAGUAUCGUAUGUCAAAAUCAUUUGUUGCUGCUAUGAUGUCUUCAUAAGCUAUCUUUCCAUCGUAGUUCCAUAUCGAGAACAGGUCUCCAUUCUUAGUGGAUUGCAAUACACUAGUUGGGUUGACCUUGACCUUAUACCUCCACAAUAAUAAUUGUAAUAAACACCCGAAAAGAAAAAAAGCAACGAAUAUCGUAAUAGGUAGAAAUAUUGGGAGAUUGCAAUUCUUCUUCAAUGGAGAACAGGAGUAGGACUUUAAAUUUUUGUUGCCACCAUAUACCUCAUCAUCUUUGUUAUAAAAGCUGGGAUUUACGUCGUAAUCAUAUUUUGCCCCAUGAAGAUUAUAUGGAACAACACUUGAGAAAUCAUUGUUUCUGAGAUCUACUCGGUCUAGCAACGAAAGUUUUCUGAUUUGAUUGGGAAUGUGACCUUGUAAAUUGUUGUUGCUUAAGUUCAACUCUUCUAAAUUGAAACAAUUACCAAUUUGAGGUGGAAUAGGUCCACUCAACUGGUUUUGAGAGAGGUCCAAUGAAACUAGUGCUGUCAAAUUUCCAAUUUCCUCGGGUACAGAACCUUCUAAAAAAUUUGAAUGAAUGGAUAAAGCAAGCAAAGUCUUCAAAUGUCCAAUUGUUGAAGGGAUAGAUCCAUUGAUUCUGUUGAAGCCAAGAAGCAAUUUUUCCAAUUUCGUUAAAUGAUUCAAAUUGGUUAAUUGACCAACAAGUUUGUUGUAUGAUAGAUCGAUGAAGACCAAAUUGGAUAAUUGAAAAAGAGUGAAGGGAAUGAAACCAUCAAGUAAGUUAUUAGACAAAUCCAGAGUCAUUAGACUCUUUAAAUCCCCCAAUUUUGGGGAGAUGGAACCAUAGAGUUGAUUUGAGCUCAUAUGCAGAUGGGUAAGAUUGGUCAGAAGAUAAAAAGACGAAGGAAACGGUCUCUCAAGUCGGUUCCUAGUCAAAUUUAAAAUAGCAAGAUUUUUCAAAUUCCUAAAUUCCAAAGGAAUAGAACCCGUAAUAUAUUGGUUAUAUGACAAAUCAAGAAACUCUAAUUGAGUGAGAUUACCAAGCCGAGUAGAUAACCGACCAUAUAAAGAAUUGUUGGACAAGUCGAGGUGCCUUAAUGUUGACAGAUUGCCUAUAUUGAACAUAAAAUCCUCCAUCGUCCCAUUGAGUUCAUGACCACCGAGACUGAGAAAAACAAGGUUCAGAAAGCAAGAGAAGUCCAUAUUCUUAAAUUUAUCACCAACCUUAAUAACGCCAGAAGGUGGGUAAAUUUUGGUCACGCUACCAGCAUCAUUGCAUGAGAUGCCUGUCCAGUUGCAACGCUGCAAAGUGUCGUUGCUGUAGUUAUUCCACCAACCACUUUCGAGUAGAGCCUUCGCUUCCCGUUCCAGCGACAUUGUUGUUGCUGAGGUAGUUGCGGCAACUUGAGAUGCAACAUAGGAAGAAAGGACGGUAGUACUCCAUAGCAUCACCAUUAUGGAAGCUGUAAAAGUUAAGCUCAUGUUUAAGUUCAUCAUAUAUGACAAGUUCUUGUUUGUUGCAUGUUAAUUCCCAGAGCACCGAAAUUUAAAGACGUUUAUUUCCGGAGUCAAGGUCUUCUAAAAGUGAAGAGUGAUGACUAUGAAUAGAGAAACAGAAGAGUCAAAAAAAAAAAAAAUUCAUGGUGUGGGUCACUUCUCUUUUUGCCUAAUUUUUCUUCAAGUUCACCAUCUGGGUCCAAAAAUUUUUUCUCAACCGUGAGAACGUCUUCCACACGGAAUUAGUUUCUUUCUGUGACUCAACGACGCAGUUUCUAGCAAGUAGCAACCAUACUUCCAGGAAGCAAUAGCCGCGUGGGUCCAACUGAGGAAGCAUUCCUAAAAUCAUCAUCCGGAAUAAGUAGAGGAUAUACUUGUGUAACACGCCCAUUGACUGCUUAUUUUCACACUGGAGAAGUUCUGCCCUGAUGGACAUGGAUAAUAAAUUUUGCACGUCUUUUGGUUAUUUUCCCUGUUUUUGGUCUUCAGAAAGAGAACGGAUUACUUACGAGUCUAAAGGUCUCCUUCCAUGAAUUAUGGAAGAGAAAAUUCUAACGUCUCUUCAUUACUGUUCAUCUGUUUUCAACAACUCCAUAGAUUUACAGCAAUUUAUUUAAUACCUCACUUCCUCCACGCGCUAGGAACUCUUCAGAUUUAUCUUAGUGCACUUAAAGGAGCGGUGCUGCACCACUCCAACAGUCGUUAGCUAGAUAAAUUCAGUUGCUGUUAUCUAAAAUUUUAGAUAAAUUCAGUUUACAAAGCUACUCAUGCUUUUCUUGGUCUUGCAUGUUGCAUCCGAUAUGGUUGCCAAAAUUUUAACAUUAAUUUUGCUUUCGAACAAAAAUUAAGAACAUUAGUCUUUGUACAGCACAGAUCUUUAGGAGAGGCAGAGAGCUUAUUUUUGUUUAGAUAGCUUAGGGAUGGAAACUGCAACAGACCUUUGUGAAAGUCAGUUCCUACUGCAAUUGUACAUAUUCUCCAUUUUGCACAAACCAGGUAUUUUAUGCCCAUAAAAGUCUUUAGCAAAUAGUGUAAAAACUUUGCAUGGCAUCAUCACUUAGUGUUAAUAAAAUCACUUUAUAAAAAAAUUAUUGAUAGUUUCUUAGUCAUAUUAAGUGGUUUAAAUGUCACAUCUAAAAGUAAAUUGUAAAUAAAAAAGUUCUAACAUUUGAAAUUAAGGCAGAGUCGGAGUGUUAAAUUUGAUGUACUUUUUAGCUUUUUUUUUUUGAUAAGGAUGUAUUUUUAUCUUAUCUCAUUGAAAGAAAACAAAAAACAACAGAAAAUAAAACCAAAAACAAUUGCAAUAACAAGAACAAGGUGUUUUAUGCUAGCGCCUGAUGACAGCAGCUUCACAGUCCCACCCUUUUCUCCAGGUGGUGCUGCUGUUGAUCAUUCUAUUCCAGGUGAUGAAUCCUCCUAAUCAAAGGCAAGGAGCAUCACCCGAUCACACAACAAACACAAAAAAGAACCAAAUCGCAAAACACAGACCAAUUUCAAUAUAGUAAUUGAUUAGAAGAAGUACAAGACUUAGUAAGAGAUCAAAGUCUCUCAAGUCCGUAGUCUUUGAUAGCUUUUCAAUCAAAUUAAAUUCUUUAAAUGUCACAUCUAAAAAUGAAUGGAAAAACGAAAAAUUACAACUUAUGAAAUUCUAUUUAAUUUAAAUUGAUUAAUAAUAAAUUGUGAACUUUUUUAUUUAUAAUUUCAUAAUACUUUAUAUUUAACUUUUAUAUAUGGUACUCAAACGCAUGUUGCACAUGUAACUUUACAUAUUGAUUAAAACUAAAUCUUAAAACCACUUAUAAUCAAUGACAAUAAACUUAAUUUUGUUUAUACUACAACAUAAAAUCAAUAUUUCGUGGUCCCCUAACUACUGAAAGGCAUCCAACUUUUUCAUUAUCAAUAAUAGUACUACCCUACAUUUUUAAGAGUUAAAUUGGAGGAUUGCGAUUAGAAUUUAACCUCUUUAAUUGAAUAUUUUCAAUCAUUAAUUUGAAAUCGAUAGAUUGAAAGUCCCCUCUAACAUUGUCGAAGUAGACAGACUCAAGGUCUUGUAAGUUCCCAAGUUUGGACAUAUUCUAACGGUGUUCCUGCUUUACAGGAUAAGGAUGUGAAACCCAAAAGGACUUCCAAGUUUUCCAUGACAAGAAUAUUAUAGGACAACGCGUAUACAAAUUAAUUUAUCAUGAUUUUAUUUUAUUACUUUUUCAUAUUAAAAAGUAUUAAACAUCUAUGUUAUAAAAAAAUUUUCAAAUUUUAAUAUAAAAUAUAUUAAAAUCAAAACUUUUAUUUUAACUUCUAUAAAAGUAAAAUAUAGAUAAACAUCAGAAUAGAAGCAAGAAUGUAUGCAUUUGUCACUACAUAUCAAGUUUAUUGAAUUUCCAUCCCUCAUUCCAGUUUUCUUUAUCAUCAAUAAUCACUUAUCCUAGAAGCUUGCUACGUGAAGCCAUAAAAACAUGUUUUACUUAGUAUAUACUUAGUGAAAGAGAUUUCGGUAAAUCAUGUCGGAAACGAUGACCAUUCAAGCAUAAUUCUUCUUCAUUAACAUUGGUAUUAACAGGAGGUUGUUACACUACCCAAAUCGAAACAAGAACAACAUUGGAGAUGGCUUCAUCUCCCUUUCCUUAGAAAUCGAAGAGACCCCUGACAUGGGAAGUUAAUGUUGACUUUAAGUUAUUUGUGCUUCACCAGAUAGAACAGCUCUAUUAUUUUUAUUUCAUCUUUCUUUCUUUCAUUUUAGAAAUCGUAAUUUCAAUGAUCAUUGGUUGCUAAUUUGAUAACCGUCACUCUGUUUCGAUUGACAAAGAAGCUCUGUUUCAAUUUUUCUGCUCGCAGUUAAACGAUGGUAGGCACACUUCCACUAAUGAAAGUUGGGGCUAUGGUGGGUUUGUGUCGUUAAAGAAUCUUCAUGAUGCUCCAAAAAAUACAUAAAGGAUGAAGUUCUGAUUGUUGAAGCGGAACUUACUGUCAUUACUAAAUUCAAGUGUUAUGAUAGACUGCUCUUUAACAUGGAAAACAGAACACAUUUUCCCCAAUUGGAGAAUUAAUGACAUGUUUCAUUGUUGGCCGUAAAUUUGGAUCAGCUUGUAGACAUGCAAAUGCUAUUGUAGCUACAUGAACAAUAUUCUGUGCAACCAGCUGGCUUGUUGGAGGUGAGAGGCGUGGAUCUAAUACAUCAGUUAACAUUAUAUUUUGCAAAGAAGAUGGUGCUGACAACAAAGACAAAAUUUCUACAAGAUGCUUUCCCACC